GCAGGGCGGCGAUCUCACUCACCCUUUGGGACACAGAAGGUCAGGACGGUUUCCCAGGAAGUCGGGUCCUUGCUGUGCUGGGUUAUGAGGACCAUGCUGAGGUAUGAUACCUACUCUGAUUGGCUGGACAGAACUGCCCUGUAUUUGGGCCCAGGGUAUACAGACGACAGCAUUUAGAUCCCGGGUUGAGCCAGUCAAUGAAGUCAUCGACCCAUGAGGAUGCUGGGAUAGCCAGACCAUCAUUCUGCAGCCUACAUGGUCCAUGGUCCUGAAUCCUGUUUGGAGGAAAAUGGCACAUUUAUCGAAGCACUCAGUGGUGUACUGAAUCUUCUGAGAAAGGGAGGACGACUCACUUGUCGGGGUACUCCGUGGCGUACUGAAUCUUCUGAGUCAGGGAGAAGGGGUCGCAGCCGACGCUGGAGCAUGCUGCGUCCAUGCCUGCUACCGUGGUGAAGUUAAAGCCCCUUGUGGUGACAAAGUACGUCGGGACGCCUACCUCAAAGUACUUGUAUAGGGCAGGGAGACCCACCUUAGGCAUGGCCAGCUCCUGAUCCAGGCCCACCGUCACAUGGAACAUCAGGAAGACCGAAGCGCAGAACAUGAAGAGAAACAGCACCAUCUGAGGGAGGGAGCAGAGCAUUGAGGGUGAGUCUGCUGUCAAGGAAACGAGGGAAGAGGACGGCUGAGAACUGAAAAUGAGGAACAGAAGAUGUGGAAGAAUGCCCACCAGCAGACAACGAGAGACAGGAGUUAGAGAGCAGAAGAACGAGAUAAUAGCAGAAGAAAUAACAAAAGUGAAGGUAAACGAAGAGCAGACUGGUUAAAGCAUGAGAGGGAAUGUUGAGUUUUCAAGCGAAUAUGAGCAGUAUCACAGAGCCAACGAUGGGAACCGCGGAAAGGAAAAGUAAAACGAAGAACUAAAUAUACACGCAUAUAAAACCUAAUACACGUAUGGAGAAGGGAGACGUACUGUAUCAGCGUCAGCUUCUGAUACUUAUAAGUCCCCAGGCCAGAGAACCCCGGCAAAAGAAUCUCCCGGACGGUUGCCGGGGACGGCAGUUUACGUACCACGGUAACCCUGGUGACGGGGUGCAGCAGAACGGGGGCGUAGUAGCGCUUCAUGGCGGGCAGCAGGACGCCCUGGCCGUGAUUGGACGGGCGGGGGGACGACACGGUGACGCAGCAGGCUAGCUCGCAGCGCCCGGCGUCCUGCCGGCGAGCGUCCAGGGACAGCAGCGCCACGAAGGCGGUGAUCUGGAGCGCGAAGUCGAACAGCACGGCUAGCGCCGCGUACAGCGCGAACGACUUCACCGCCGGCAUGCUGCUCAGCCCACCUGAAACACAGAGCACAAACACCCGCCAGCAGAGCGGGUAAUGGGGCCUUACCCAGGAAGAAGCAGAUGGACUCAGACAUGCUGCAGAGGAGCAUGCUGGGAGCCACGUGACCCAGAACUCUGCCGAUCUGUUCUUCUCUGCUCUCUCCCAGCCUACGCUCGUCUCUCUGAGGGGGAGAGAGGAUUUGCAACUUUUACACAGCAGCUCUGGGACAAUCAAAGAGGACCCUGGGACUCACCUUUCAUCAAAACCUGGCCAUCAGUGUGCACCAAGAUAAAGAUGUUGUCAGCUCCCACUGCCAGCACCAGAAAGGGCACCACUUGCAGGAUGACCAGGGAGGAGGGCACUCCAAUCCAGGCAUAGAAGCCCAUGGCGGACAGCACCGAGCAUCCCACCACCAGGAUCCCGCCCAGGCCCACCAGGAACUUGGAAUCCACCUGUGAUACAGCAGUGCCACAGCGCCAUCUACUGUCAGUCCUCCACUAUGACUCACAACUACUAAACCACUUUUGGGGGGGAGAACUAGGCUUCAUGAAUCUCAUGAAGCCUGGUUCUCAUAAUGCAUGGAGAACAGAAUUACUGCAUUGAUAUGGAAGGUUUUCAUUUAGAGCAGCUGCGUUUAAUCUUAUCCCAGAGAGGCUGAUGUAAGUGUCAGCUUUUGCUGAAGCCCUGCACUAAACGCCCAAUUUAACUCAUGAACUUACUUAGUGCUAACUAGUCUUCAAUCAAGGCUUCAGCUUGUUGAAUCAGAUGUUUUGGUGCUAGGAUAAAAAACAAUGCAACACCCACACAUGUAAAAGACUGGACACCCCCUGGUUUAGAGCGUCCCGCUCUCACGUAUUGGACCACAGCAGGACCGUUGUACCAUUGGGUUGCUAGGGGACAUGACCUGCUUACCAAUAUGCGCUUGAAGGAGGAGUACUCCCCGAGCGCCAUGGCGAUGUAGAUGAAGAUCACGGCGUAGCUGAUCAUGAAGAUGGGGAUAUCCUCCGCGGUCGUCCGGUUGAUCUCAUCCUCAAGCGACCUCUAGGGCAGGAGAGACCAGAGUGGUGAGACCAGAACAGGCAGACCAGAGAGGAGAGACCAGAAUGGGCAGGCCAGAGAGGAGAGACCAGAACGGGCAGGCCAGAGAGGAGUGACCGGAAUGGAGAGGUCACAGCAGAGAGACUACAGCAGCAUGUGUGGGCCAGUAUCUAUGAACUGACUUGUCUCUCUAAAGGAAACCCUUGUCUCUUCCUACCCCUUGUUGUUGUACCAUUCCAUGUAUGAUUUUUUUUUCCUUGGUUACUCUGCACAACAUCUUUGUGUUCAUAUACGUACAUCUAUCAUUAUUGGUGAACUGGGUGAUGUUGGGGUGACUGUAUCACUGUCAUUAACUCUUUAAGGUGUGAGUCACAAAUAGGUAAUUAGAAUGUUCUUAACUGAGCAUUUGCAUGCUUAUGUACUGCAACAAACACUACUGGUAAUUAAGAGCAAUAGAGUUCUAGAACAAUGACUUCAAUUUUGAAAAAACAUUCCAUAAAAAUCUAUUCUUCAAAGAGUUAAGGUAAAGUAGGUUCUAAGGAGAUGGCUGUACCUCUGCCAUGUAGGCGAAUGUGAAGUUUGUGGCUGGGUUCCUCUGGUACUCCUGAACGAUGUCCAGGAACAUUUGCUCCCAUUUCUCUACCAGUUUAAAUUUGGGGGUCCCCCUCUGAUAAUUAUUCAGAGAGAAAGUGAGGAUCAGAGCUUCUGCAUUGGUGUAGUCUUCAUCUGGGGGUUGAAUGAGAGAGUUACAACUUCAUAAUCUUUAAAUAAAUAGGGCAGAACAACAGGAACAAAAUGUAUAACUAAUAAUUACCAUAAACAUUGUUCACUGAAAUAAACUGAAGUUAUAAUGAUGAGGCAGGUGAUUUGGAGUCCCUCACACACACACACACACACACACACUGACAUCUGGCCAAACAAAAUGUCAGCCAUUGUAAUACAGAAAUAAUAUCUGAUAUCAAAGAAGAUAAUAUCACGAGAAAGCUUGAGGAAGCUGAAUUCAUUAUGAGAGACUGUUCAGCAAAGAGUCUGAAGAUAAUGUGAAGAAUAUUGAUUGAGAUAAAUGGGGAGGUUCAUUACAAAGUAAAAAAUAAAAAUAGUUGGCAAAUGCUGUCAGCGCACUACUGGGAGAAACUCUUUUGAGCUCACGGGUACUUGCUUGCCAGGCGGUCUCCAUGGAGACCUGUGAGUGACACUUACUCUGGUAUCCACCCACAGCCAGGAAGGGGAAGACCGGACCCCCGUAGUCUGCCAUGCAGCUCAGGCCCAGAUCUGUGAUGUCUUUGAAAGACAGGGGAGAGCUGAAGGUGCACCAAAGCAGGCAAAAAUAUUACUGUUAUAUAAUAGUAACAGUACUGCUGAAACGUAAAAUAGAGGAACUGAGCAUUUUGUGGAUUCUGGUCAUAGUUAUUUUAUGCGUCGUAAGAACAUUUGCUAUUCAUUUUAAAUUCAGUUGGGCACACCAAAUAGCUUCUAGUAUAUUUAUAUUUCUUAUCAAGCUUUAAGUAAACUGCCCCCAGCCCUCUGCACUUAAUUGGCAGUAAAUAGUUUUUAAUUCAGUGGAUUAUGCUCAUAUUUUCAACAAAAGACUUUCAAACUAUCACUUUAAUUCACAUAAAUAAAUCUAUUGUGUUUCUAUCACAAAUAUGAAACAUCUUUUUUAUGGAUAAUACUUGCAUUUUCAAUAAUCAUUGUUAUGGAUAAUGCAUUCAUGAUCGACCUGGAUUUGCGUGCCUGGAGCCCAACCCUCAGCACAGUUCUCUUACUUAACACAGUAAAUGAAGUGGUCCCUCCAGUCCACCUCCUGGGUCACCCCCAGCUCUGUCAUGUUGACCUUGGCAUUCAAAUUGUCCACGCUGUUCUGGAAGUACUGGGGCAGGCCGUUUACGGCACAGUCCGUCAGCGAUGGGUUCCCAGGAUUCAGCGGGGCGAAGCAGAUGUCCUUGAGGCUGGCGGUGCGGUUCAGGUCGUCGGACCAGAACUCGAUGGCCUGGAUCCGCUUCUGCAGCUCCAGCAGCUGCAGGAUCAGGUCCUUGGAGAUGAUGCCACUGAAGUUGUGCAUCCCAAACAGCAGAGAGUCAUAGGCGUGGCUGGGGUAAUUGGGUGCGGUCAGGAUCAGCUGGUUGGUGCGGAAGAAGGGGUCAAAAUGGCUGUCGUGGAAGUCCUUCUCUCGGCGGGCACGGCUGUUGGGGGCAGACCACAGCUGCACGGGGUCUGUGGUCAGUUCGAUGUGCAUCAUGCCUGUUCCAAAAACUGCCACCACCGCUGCUGAAGUCAGCAGCACCUUGAAGGGGUGCCGAGCCAUUAGAGUCCCCCACCUCUGGAACACGGAACCCAGGAACUCCUCCGUAGCCAGGCUGUUCCGGUCCGUGCACGUCACAUCCCCUGGGUCAAUGACCUCAUCCUUGGCCUUGCCCACCUCGUUGCUGUUUUUGUCCUUAACUUUGGUCUUCGCCUCCGCGGCCUUGACGGUGCUGCGGCUGCCGCCAGGUCCAAAAUGGCGUACCACCAGAAAGCCCACAAAGGUGACAGAAAGGAUGACGAAUACAAUGAGGCACACAGCCAGCACGCCGUCCAGUUGACCAAUCAGGAAGGGUGGGGGAGGGGGUGGGGGCGGGGCCACAGCCGGGCAGGACUCCACACAGUCCUGGCAGGAGCACGCCUUGCCACCGGUGUCCGUGGUCUCGUUGCACCUGAGGGCCUUGCCCGCGUAAGGCGCGAUUCCCGGGGGCACGGGGGCACCGUUGGGGAUGAUGCGGAAGUCAAUAUCGAGGGGCGCCAGCCCAUUACUGGUGUCCCCCUGGAAGUCAAGCCAGCGCUGUGGGGUGCAGAGGCUGGCGCCAUAGCGCCCGCACAUGGUGGCUAUGGCAUAGCCGCCCGUGGCUGGAAUCCGCACGUUCUGGCAGGACUUGAAGGAGGCGUCAAUGAACGUCUCGGAGACGUAGGAACGAUAGGCCACCACAGCCUCCUUCUCCUAAAACUCAAAAACAUAAGAACGUAAGAACGACUUAUGAUGAAAACAGAGAAUCCGGCAUUACAUCAAGCUUGGCCUUCAAGUCAAGUCAAAUAAAUAUGUAUUUAUUCAGGACAUUCUAUAAAACACAAGCCAUAAUACACUUCACAGUGUAUCUGGUCCAAAAAAUCUCCACAAAACGAAACCUAGGGUGACGGUGGCAAGAGAAAAAGUACCCUUGGUGGGAAAGUAGGAAGAAGCAUUGUGAGGAACCGGGCUCAGUUAGGGGGAGCCCAUUCUCAUUUGACCAGCCCAGAGUGCAGGUCCGCAGUGGCUAACACGCUCAGGUCAAGUUUAAAAAAAAAAUUUAAAAAUGGCGUAGUUCUAAUGACUUCAGUACCCAGAAGGCCUCCGCCUCCGCUACAGUACCUGGCCCAGGACGGUGACGUUGAUGGUGCGCAGGAUGGUGAGCGUCUGGCUCUGGUCGGGGCUGCAGGUGGUGAUGCAGUGCAGGUGGGCGAAGUUGUCUGCGCAGGCCGGGCAGCGCACCAGGAUGGCCUUGGACAGCGUCAGGCUGUUCUCCAGCGAGGAGAGCUGGUUCAUGGAGCAGCAGGCCGUGGUGUUGCCCUCCCCGCGCGCCAGCAUGGGGCACACCUUCUUCAGCCGCGCGUAGUGCGCGCCCUGGAUCUGGCGGGCGGGGCUGAAGUUCACGCAGGGGAUGAUGGGCUUGAUGAGGCUCCCGUUGACGGACGGGUUCCUGCCGCACUCCUCGUAGAAGGAGCAGUAACCGGGCUGGUUCUUAGCCUCCGCGGUGACCUGCGGAGACGAGCGCCACGGUCAGAAACACGCGUCCACGCGGAGCUUGACCGCAAAGCAACUCUCGCGUUUAUUUUGACAGGGAAAAGUGCACGGCAGGGAAUUCCCCAGUCUAAUCCAAAAUGGACUGAUCGUGAUUUUCACAUGGUGACAAAGGUGAAGGCAAGCAGAACCUCAGUCCCUCUCCUUUGCCCUAGUGCUGUUCAGUGUUUAAGAAACUCGUUCUAAAAUCCUGAUACGGCCUAUAAGCCUUACCGCCGUGUGGUUUGACUUACUAAAACAGGCUCAGUCAGGUGCCGUCCCUUUUCACAGGUUAGCCUCGCACGUGGCCAAACCCCUUAUCACAUGACGGGCUUGCACAUGGCCAAACCCCUUAUCACAUGACAGGAUGGCACAUGGCGGAUGAGCAGGUUGGCUUAUCUAAUCUUCAGAGGUGGUAAUUGAAUGAUUAUGGCCCCUGGUAUCUGCUGUGCAAUAUCAGUGGCUUUUACAUACAGUACUUUAUAUAGUAUAAAUCACCAGAAAGGUGAUGUAAUCUAAUCUUAAUAAUGUAUUACAUUGAAACUUGUCGUUGUCAUUUCCAGUCCUGCUACACUGUCUGUACAGCACUGUAAAACUUCUCCAGUAGCAUGUGCUGUCUUCAAACAGUUUUGCAUUUCCCUGUUCCUCACAGAAUACCUCAUAUAAUGCAUGCAUGUUUUAACUUUGGCUUUAAGUUUGCUGAAUGAUACAUGAUGACUGAUGAUCAGUUUUUCAGUUUUUUGACAAAUAAACAAACUUGAUUUGUCACGGAAAGUGGUUUUUCAGACUGAAAUACCAAUUCUGUGAGACAAUCAGUGGCAGAAUGACAGAGGCAGCCGCUAAUUUUGUGCAAUGAGGAUGGCUGGAGAGGCUCCUUUUGUUUUAUUGAUCUGAGCAAGAGCUGAUAUGGAUGAAAAGUGGGGUUGCUAGCUGCAGACGAGUUUCCUGAAGGCUCUGAUUGUGAACUUGUGGAGAGUUUUAUCCACUGUGUACAUAGACCAUUAAUAAAUGGUGUAUUUAUGGUGAGUCCAAGUUCUGUGCGUGGUGCCACCCAAACCACAAAGGGGCUGGGUAUUCCUGAUAAAUUAAUUCUUUAGGGACUGUUAGGAUUGUUUUGAUGACAAGAUCACUAACUUCAAAGUUAGUUGAUAUAUUUGUUCUCUGAAGCACAUUAAAACAGUGUGAUACUCGAA
Molecule: long non-coding RNA, 7341 nt
Organism: Anguilla anguilla (European eel)
Lineage: Eukaryota; Metazoa; Chordata; Actinopteri; Anguilliformes; Anguillidae
Exons: 8
Source: RefSeq, a predicted model, not a curated record